RNAcentral lists this non-coding RNA (30 nucleotides) under Homo sapiens (human). Lineage: Eukaryota; Metazoa; Chordata; Mammalia; Primates; Hominidae. The record is from RNAcentral.
UCAGAGCUUCAGAACCGGGGUUCCCGACAC